This is a non-coding RNA of Asterophora parasitica, 84 nucleotides long. The record is from the annotation of a GenBank genome assembly. NCBI's taxonomy places the organism in Eukaryota, Fungi, Basidiomycota, Agaricomycetes, Agaricales, Lyophyllaceae.
GGUUCAAUGGUCUAGUGGUUAUGAUUUCUGUCUCACAAGGAUGUAAUACACAGAAGGUCCCCAGUUCGAUCCUGGGUUGAACCA